Molecule: ribosomal RNA, 806 nt
Filed under: uncultured bacterium
Lineage: Bacteria
Description: bacterial SSU rRNA
Rfam family: Bacterial small subunit ribosomal RNA
Source: RNAcentral
UACCUAGCGGCGGACGGGUGAGUAAUGCUUAGGAAUCUGCCUAUUAGUGGGGGACAACAUUCCGAAAGGAAUGCUAAUACCGCAUACGUCCUACGGGAGAAAGCAGGGGACCUUCGGGCCUUGCGCUAAUAGAUGAGCCUAAGUCGGAUUAGCUAGUUGGUGGGGUAAAGGCCUACCAAGGCGACGAUCUGUAGCGGGUCUGAGAGGAUGAUCCGCCACACUGGGACUGAGACACGGCCCAGACUCCUACGGGAGGCAGCAGUGGGGAAUAUUGGACAAUGGGGGGAACCCUGAUCCAGCCAUGCCGCGUGUGUGAAGAAGGCCUUUUGGUUGUAAAGCACUUUAAGCGAGGAGGAGGCUACUAGUAUUAAUACUACUGGAUAGUGGACGUUACUCGCAGAAUAAGCACCGGCUAACUCUGUGCCAGCAGCCGCGGUAAUACAGAGGGUGCGAGCGUUAAUCGGAUUUACUGGGCGUAAAGCGUGCGUAGGCGGCUGAUUAAGUCGGAUGUGAAAUCCCUGAGCUUAACUUAGGAAUUGCAUUCGAUACUGGUCAGCUAGAGUAUGGGAGAGGAUGGUAGAAUUCCAGGUGUAGCGGUGAAAUGCGUAGAGAUCUGGAGGAAUACCGAUGGCGAAGGCAGCCAUCUGGCCUAAUACUGACGCUGAGGUACGAAAGCAUGGGGAGCAAACAGGAUUAGAUACCCUGGUAGUCCAUGCCGUANACGAUGUCUACUAGCCGUUGGGGCCUUUGAGGCUUUAGUGGCGCAGCUAACGCGAUAAGUAGACCGCCUGGGGAGUACGGUCGCA